GCCUGGGUAGCUCAGUCGGUUAAGCAUCAGACUUCGGCUCAGGUCAUCAUCUUACGGCUCGUGGGUUCGAGCCCCACGUCGGGCC
This 85-nucleotide transfer RNA is filed under the name Felis catus (domestic cat). It matches the Rfam family "tRNA". Rfam says of the family: Transfer RNA (tRNA) molecules are approximately 80 nucleotides in length. Lineage: Eukaryota; Metazoa; Chordata; Mammalia; Carnivora; Felidae. The record is from Rfam by way of RNAcentral.